This is a non-coding RNA of Nicotiana tabacum (common tobacco), 841 nucleotides long. NCBI's taxonomy places the organism in Eukaryota, Viridiplantae, Streptophyta, Magnoliopsida, Solanales, Solanaceae. The record is from RefSeq and is a predicted model, not a curated record.
UAUUCCCUCAUGGCGGUUAAUUAUUCAUCAACCCAUCCAAUUCCUUCUUUCAAAAGCUCCGCUUCCGCUACCUCAGUUCGCCGCAUUUUUAGAGUUAAUGCCACCGCUAUCGUUGAGUCCCCGUCGUAUUCCGCCACCGGCGGCGGAGAUGACACGCGGAAGCUGCUGCUCCAAGUGAAGGACCUGUCUGCUGUGAUAGCUGAAUCGAGACAGCCCAUUCUCAAAGGCGUUAACCUCACUGUCUAUGAAGGCGAGGUACAUGCUGUAAUGGGAAAGAAUGGUUCUGGAAAGAGCACUUUUGCCAAGGUUCUUGGAGCAGACUUAGCAAUACUUGAUGAAAUUGAUUCCGGUUUAGAUGUUGAUGCACUUCGAGACGUGGCAAAGGCAGUAAAUUGCCUGCUGUCCUUUAAGAAUUCUGUGUUGAUGAUCACACAUUACUUGAGAUUGCUAGAGUUUAUCAAGCCAACCUAUAUUCAUAUCAUGGAGGAUGGGAGAAUUGUGAAGACUGGAGAUAUUUCGAUAGCUGAAGUUCUGGAGAAAGAAGGGUACAAGGCAAUUUCUGGCACAUAGGAUAUAUAGUGAAGAGAGGCCCUCCAUACAACUUGUUUUGCGUUUCUCAUAAGCUCUGAAUCAAAACUAUUGGAACUUUGUCAUUUGAAGAAGUUGCACUUCGCCCACAGAAGGAAAUAUGCAGAUUGCAACGAGUAGCAAAGCUUUGAUACAUACGUUACUUAAAGUACCUGUAUAUCUUAUCAAAGAUUUGAAUGUGCUCUCUUCAUUUACUGUAGCAAUGCUUGGAGUCUUUAGGACCAUGUUGGUCAAGCGCAGACUUUUUGUAAAA